This 315-nucleotide ribosomal RNA is filed under the name Triticum aestivum (bread wheat). Its description in RNAcentral is "partial small subunit ribosomal RNA". The record is from RNAcentral. Lineage: Eukaryota; Viridiplantae; Streptophyta; Magnoliopsida; Poales; Poaceae.
AUGGACCUCGAGUUGCUUCGCUUCUCAUCUCCUCACCACGUGCCGCUGUUCUUCUUUCUUUCCCUAGAGCGGGACGAAGGGUUGAGCAGGGGUAGAACGCUACCAAAUUUUGGGGAAAACCGAGAGCGGGACAAAGGGGCUGCAUGCUUGUUGCCACGGACAGGCCAAUAUUCCGCUUUGAUCCCCAGCCUGAAUACCAUGACCUGCCAACAACAACAUUUGGGUAUCCCAAUGCCAAUGUCUAAUGGUGGGCCUCAUCAUCAACCUCCAAACGGUGUGUUAUCAAAAGACACUUGUAUUAUGGUGAGCUUGUAA